UUUUCAUGGAUAUCAGAACAUGUGUAAACACUGCCGUAACAACCGCUUUUCAAGGACCCCAUAAGAGAGUGUAAACAGCUUCUUCGUGUAACAUUAUGGGGACAUAUCUUUCCCAACCGGCUCAUGUUGUCCUAUUGCCGAAGAUUUCAGCAAUACAGGCCUCAUACGCAGCGCACAAACCUAGAGUCUGCGACCAUAGGUCGUUUUGUCCAUAUGUGCGCAAUCAAAACUGCCAUCUUUCAAGCUAUGUACAUGUAGGGCGGAAAGAUGUUAUAAUAGCAAUUUCCGCAAUCUGGUCAAAAUCGUUGCCGUUAGACCAACCACCUUCAGUCCAUACAUGUCGGCCGGUACACGUAGAAGCCGUGACGGUACGCAGGAUAGUAGGAAGUAGUGGUUGCUCUUAUAAAACCUUUUUUAAUUUGAGUUUUGAAGGAAUUGCUUGACCUCUGAGCCACUUAAAGGAAGUGACGUCACAGAUAGUGCGUCACACCAAUAUAUACAUACAGCAGCACUCUUUUCCGCAGAACCCCUUGCCCACGAUAUCACCAGAAAUAUUUUUUCGCUGCCAUACAUCUGGACCAGGUUAGCUUGUGUUGCACUUGAACUCCUCCGCCUGAAAUGUGUUGCUGGAUAUGCCCUUCGCUGCAAACGGCAUACCAUUGGAAUGCACUUACAACUAGUUAGUUACCGUGUCGAAGCUCGGGGGCUGACAUUUGGCUUACGUCGUUGCAACUUCGCCACGACUGCUCGUCUCACCGUUGCGCUUUUUGGUUGGCUUUGCCUUCAGGUUCUGAAGCAUACGGAGAGCUGCGGACUUCUCAUCCUUCGUGCGCAGGUGCUGGUGGGUUUGCCUGCUAUACCGGUUCUCGCAAUCAGGGUUUGCUAAACCUUUGCACUCGGCGAGGCCUGUCGAGCUAAAGACAUAAGCUUUUCAUCCUGAAACCGUGUUGCGCUGUCUUUAAGACCUGCAAGGCACUUAUGCCUGACAGCAGGAGCUAAGGUUCUCAUGGCUGACUCAUACACAAUGUUUGGACCACGCCAUUAACGUUGUAAGUACGCUCGUAGUGUGUAUAUUGAACAUGAUCGUUCUGUUUUUUCUUUCUCACGCUUCCUGACUGUAGGCCGACCGACUCUUCAUUCUAUCUCCCAAGCAUGGUUUGCCCCGUCUGCAUCACUACGGCAAUUGUGGCCAAUGCCCCCGCUAUCGCCGCCAGCUUAGGGGGCGUGGCGGCUGUUAAGCUGUGCAUCAACCGGAAUAGAGCGGCCCCGGCCCCUCAGCCUGUGGAACAGCGAGCGCGUUCCCAGGAGCGGCGGACAUCGGUUGAUCCGAUUAGAAUUAACCGCUACGACGAAGAGGAGUGGUAAUGGUGCACAUCCUGUAUAUAUGUACAAUACCCGCCAGAAACCGCCAUGUGGAAGGGCGGUGAAUUAUCAGUGCCUGUUGCAUUUUGGACUAUAUGGUCCAAAAUAGUACCAUAUAGUAAGGGCCCUCGUGCCUCCAUGCCGCACUGGCUGUGCUGGGAUCCGGUUCCCGGGUGUUCAGGUCCUUCAAACCACUGAUGUGUGUCGAAUGUUGUACAAUGCAGUUGAUUGGGGUAGGCUGUCAAGGCUAUUAGAGGCUUGUCGAUAGUAAUAGGUUUAAAAGUUCGCAGAGGCAAAUUGCUUCUGGCUUGUUUUCGUUUGAUGAGAAGCUCAUGAAGAUUAUGUGUUGAACGAAUUCAUCCGGUUUCCUUAGGAGCUACUUGAGUGCAUAUGCAAUUGGAAGGUUGGGGUGUUAACAGACAGCUGC
RNAcentral lists this long non-coding RNA (1789 nucleotides) under Volvox carteri. RNAcentral's name for it is "long non-coding RNA (VCAR_LNC002500)". The record is from RNAcentral. Lineage: Eukaryota; Viridiplantae; Chlorophyta; Chlorophyceae; Chlamydomonadales; Volvocaceae.